This 861-nucleotide ribosomal RNA is filed under the name uncultured bacterium. Its description in RNAcentral is "bacterial SSU rRNA". It matches the Rfam family "Bacterial small subunit ribosomal RNA", at positions 8 to 916 of the family's 1533-position model. The record is from RNAcentral.
AGAGUUUGAUCCUGGCUCAGAGCGAACGCUGGCGGCAGGCCUAACACAUGCAAGUCGAACGGACCCUUCGGGGUUAGUGGCGGACGGGUGAGUAACACGUGGGAACGUGCCUUUAGGUUCGGAAUAGCUCCUGGAAACGGGUGGUAAUGCCGAAUGUGCCCUUCGGGGGAAAGAUUUAUCGCCUUCAGAGGGGCCCGCGUCUGAUUAGCUAGUUGGUGAGGUAAUGGCUCACCAAGGCGACGAUCAGUAGCUGGUCUGAGAGGAUGACCAGCCACAUUGGGACUGAGACACGGCCCAAACUCCUACGGGAGGCAGCAGUGGGGAAUCUUGCGCAAUGGGCGAAAGCCUGACGCAGCCAUGCCGCGUGAAUGAUGAAGGUCUUAGGAUUGUAAAAUUCUUUCACCGGGGACGAUAAUGACGGUACCCGGAGAAGAAGCCCCGGCUAACUUCGUGCCAGCAGCCGCGGUAAUACGAAGGGGGCUAGCGUUGCUCGGAAUUACUGGGCGUAAAGGGCGCGUAGGCGGAUCGUUAAGUCAGAGGUGAAAUCCCGGAGCUCAACUUCGGAACUGCCUUUGAUACUGGCGAUCUUGAGUGUGAGAGAGGUAUGUGGAACUCCGAGUGUAGAGGUGAAAUUCGUAGAUAUUCGGAAGAACACCAGUGGCGAAGGCGACAUACUGGCUCAUUACUGACGCUGAGGCGCGAAAGCGUGGGGAGCAAACAGGAUUAGAUACCCUGGUAGUCCACGCCGUAAACGAUGAUUGCUAGUUGUCGGGCUGCAUGCAGUUCGGUGACGCAGCUAACGCAUUAAGCAAUCCGCCUGGGGAGUACGGUCGCAAGAUUAAAACUCAAAGGAAUUGACGG